This 218-nucleotide long non-coding RNA is filed under the name Elaeis guineensis (African oil palm). RNAcentral describes it as "long non-coding RNA (EGUI_LNC010092)". Lineage: Eukaryota; Viridiplantae; Streptophyta; Magnoliopsida; Arecales; Arecaceae. The record is from RNAcentral.
ACCAUAGGUGCUUUAAGAUUCGUGCUCGAAACUUUUCUGACGUGAUUGCCAGAGACCGACUUGGAUGCAGCAGUCGGUGGCACCGAAAAGAAUGGCGAGCAGCCCCAAGCACCGCCCGAGAGCCUCGCGUGGUGGGGGGAGAGGGAUUGGCCAGCUUCGGGAUGGAAACAAGCAGUGCAAGGGUACACAGUUUGGGUGUCGUCUGAACCUUUGCCGGA